GCGCCUUGCCAGCCCGCUCAGAAACUUAAAGGAAUUGACGGGGGCCCGCACAAGCGGUGGAGUAUGUGGUUUAAUUCGAUGCAACGCGAAGAACCUUACCUGGUCUUGACAUCCCGGAGACCCUUAGGAAACUAGGGGGUGCUUCCAUCUGGAAGAAAUCCGGAGACAGGUGCUGCAUGGCUGUCGUCAGCUCGUGUCGUGAGGUGUUGGGUUAAAGUCCCGCAACGAGCGCAACCCUUGCCUUUAGUUGCCAGCAGUUCGGCUGGGCACUCUAAAGGGACUGCCGGUGUUAAACCGGAGGAAGGUGGGGAUGACGUCAAGUCCUCAUGGCCUUUAUGACCAGGGCUACACACGUACUACAAUGGCCGAUACAAAGGGCAGCGACACUGCGAGGUGAAGCCAAUCCCGUAAAAUCGGUCUCAGUCCGGAUUGGAGUCUGCAACUCGACUCCAUGAAGUUGGAAUCGCUAGUAAUCGUGGAUCAGCAUGCCACGGUGAAUACGUUCCCGGGCCUU
RNAcentral lists this ribosomal RNA (514 nucleotides) under uncultured Desulfobulbus sp. RNAcentral describes it as "bacterial SSU rRNA". It matches the Rfam family "Bacterial small subunit ribosomal RNA", at positions 903 to 1382 of the family's 1533-position model. Lineage: Bacteria; Pseudomonadati; Thermodesulfobacteriota; Desulfobulbia; Desulfobulbales; Desulfobulbaceae. The record is from RNAcentral.